AGUGAACGCUGGCGGUAGGCCUAACACAUGCAAGUCGAACGGCAGCACAGUAAGAGCUUGCUCUUACGGGUGGCGAGUGGCGGACGGGUGAGGAAUACAUCGGAAUCUACUUUUUCGUGGGGGAUAACGUAGGGAAACUUACGCUAAUACCGCAUACGACCUACGGGUGAAAGCAGGGGAUCUUCGGACCUUGCGCGAUUGAAUGAGCCGAUGUCGGAUUAGCUAGUUGGCGGGGUAAAGGCCCACCAAGGCGACGAUCCGUAGCUGGUCUGAGAGGAUGAUCAGCCAAAAUGGAAAUGAGAAAAGGUCCAGACUCCUACGGGAGGCAGCAGUGGGGAAAAUUGGACAAUGGGCGCAAGCCUGAUCCAGCCAUACCGCGUGGGUGAAGAAGGCCUUCGGGUUGUAAAGCCCUUUUGUUGGGAAAGAAAAGCAGCAGGUUAAUACCCCGCUGUUCUGACGGUACCCAAAGAAUAAGCACCGGCUAACUUCGUG
RNAcentral lists this ribosomal RNA (492 nucleotides) under uncultured bacterium. Its description in RNAcentral is "partial 16S ribosomal RNA". It matches the Rfam family "Bacterial small subunit ribosomal RNA", at positions 29 to 507 of the family's 1533-position model. The record is from RNAcentral.